This 253-nucleotide ribosomal RNA is filed under the name uncultured bacterium. RNAcentral's name for it is "partial 16S ribosomal RNA". It matches the Rfam family "Bacterial small subunit ribosomal RNA", at positions 524 to 776 of the family's 1533-position model. The record is from RNAcentral.
UACGUAGGGCGCGAGCGUUAAUCGGAAUUACUGGGCGUAAAGGGCGCGUAGGCGGCCCGCUAAGUCGAACGUGAAAUCCCCGAGCUCAACUCGGGAACUGCGUCCGAUACUGGUGGGCUUGAAUCCGGGAGAGGGAUGCGGAAUUCCAGGUGUAGCGGUGAAAUGCGUAGAUAUCUGGAGGAACACCGGUGGCGAAGGCGGCAUCCUGGACCGGCAUUGACGCUGAGGCGCGAAAGCUAGGGGAGCAAACGGG